This 1471-nucleotide ribosomal RNA is filed under the name Staphylococcus sp. HMSC55D02. RNAcentral describes it as "bacterial LSU rRNA". It matches the Rfam family "Bacterial large subunit ribosomal RNA", at positions 1 to 1471 of the family's 2925-position model. The record is from RNAcentral. Lineage: Bacteria; Bacillati; Bacillota; Bacilli; Caryophanales; Staphylococcaceae.
AGAUUAAGUUAUUAAGGGCGCACGGUGGAUGCCUUGGCACUAGAAGCCGAUGAAGGACGUUACUAACGACGAUAUGCUUUGGGUAGCUGUAAGUAAGCAUUGAUCCAGAGAUUUCCGAAUGGGGAAACCCAGCACAAGUUAUGUUGUGUUAUCGACAUGUGAAUACAUAGCAUGUUAGAAGGCAGACCCGGAGAACUGAAACAUCUUAGUACCCGGAGGAAGAGAAAGAAAAAUCGAUUCCCUGAGUAGCGGCGAGCGAAACGGGAAGAGCCCAAACCAAUAAGCUUGCUUAUUGGGGUUGUAGGACACUCUAUACGGAGUUACAAAGGAAUAUAUUAGACGAAUCAUCUGGAAAGAUGAAUCAAAGAAGGUAAUAAUCCUGUAGUUGAAAAUAUAUUCUCUCUUGAGUGGAUCCUGAGUACGACGGAGCACGUGAAAUUCCGUCGGAAUCUGGGAGGACCAUCUCCUAAGGCUAAAUACUCUCUAGUGACCGAUAGUGAACCAGUACCGUGAGGGAAAGGUGAAAAGUACCCCGGAAGGGGAGUGAAAGAGAACUUGAAACCGUGUGCUUACAAGUAGUCAGAGCCCGUUAAUGGGUGAUGGCGUGCCUUUUGUAGAAUGAACCGGCGAGUUACGAUUUGAUGCAAGGUUAAGCAGGAAAUGUGGAGCCGUAGCGAAAGCGAGUCUGAAUAGGGCGUUGAGUAUUUGGUCGUAGACCCGAAACCAGGUGAUCUACCCUUGGUCAGGUUGAAGUUCAGGUAACACUGAAUGGAGGACCGAACCGACUUACGUUGAAAAGUGAGCGGAUGAACUGAGGGUAGCGGAGAAAUUCCAAUCGAACUUGGAGAUAGCUGGUUCUCUCCGAAAUAGCUUUAGGGCUAGCCUCAAGUGAUGAUUAUUGGAGGUAGAGCACUGUUUGGACGAGGGGCCCCUCUCGGGUUACCGAAUUCAGACAAACUCCGAAUGCCAAUUAAUUUAACUUGGGAGUCAGAACAUGGGUGAUAAGGUCCGUGUUCGAAAGGGAAACAGCCCAGACCACCAGCUAAGGUCCCAAAAUAUAUGUUAAGUGGAAAAGGAUGUGGCGUUGCCCAGACAACUAGGAUGUUGGCUUAGAAGCAGCCAUCAUUUAAAGAGUGCGUAAUAGCUCACUAGUCGAGUGACACUGCGCCGAAAAUGUACCGGGGCUAAACAUAUUACCGAAGCUGUGGAUUGUCCUUUGGACAAUGGUAGGAGAGCGUUCUAAGGGCGUUGAAGCAUGAUCGCAAGGACAUGUGGAGCGCUUAGAAGUGAGAAUGCCGGUGUGAGUAGCGAAAGACGGGUGAGAAUCCCGUCCACCGAUUGACUAAGGUUUCCAGAGGAAGGCUCGUCCGCUCUGGGUUAGUCGGGUCCUAAGCUGAGGCCGACAGGCGUAGGCGAUGGAUAACAGGUUGAUAUUCCUGUACCACCUAGUAUCGUUUUAAUCGAUGGGGGG